GCCUCUACAGGUGUUGCAUGGCUGUCGUCAGCUCGUGUCGUGAGAUGUUCGGUUAAGUCCGCUAACGAGCGCAACCCUCGCUGUGUGUUACAAGUGUCACACGGUACUGCCGAUAUUAAGUCGGAGGAAGGUGGGGAUGACGUCAAGUCAGCAUGACCUUUAUAUCCAGGGCUACACACACGCUACAAUGGCCAGUACAAUGGGUUGCCAAGCCGCGAGGCGGAGCCAAUCCUAAAAAGCUGGCCUCAGUUCAGAUUGCAGUCUGCAACUCGACUGCAUGAAGUUGGAGUUGCUAGUAACCGCAGGUCAGCAAUACUGCGGUGAAUACGUUCCCGGGGAUU
This 341-nucleotide ribosomal RNA is filed under the name uncultured Anaerolineaceae bacterium. Its description in RNAcentral is "bacterial SSU rRNA". It matches the Rfam family "Bacterial small subunit ribosomal RNA", at positions 1028 to 1378 of the family's 1533-position model. The record is from RNAcentral. Lineage: Bacteria; Bacillati; Chloroflexota; Anaerolineae; Anaerolineales; Anaerolineaceae.